GACGUAGGGCGCGAGCGUUGUCCGGAUUUAUUGGGCGUAAAGAGCUCGUAGGCGGCUUGUCGCGUCGACCGUGAAAACUCGCAGCUCAACUGCGAGCCUGCGGUCGAUACGGGCAGGCUAGAGUUCGGUAGGGGAGACUGGAAUUCUCGGUGUAGCGGUGAAAUGCGUAGAUAUCGAGAGGAACACCUGCGGCGAAGGCGGGUUGCUGGGCCGACACUGACGCUGAUGCGCGAAAGCCAGGGGAGCGAACGGG
RNAcentral lists this ribosomal RNA (253 nucleotides) under uncultured bacterium. RNAcentral's name for it is "partial 16S ribosomal RNA". It matches the Rfam family "Bacterial small subunit ribosomal RNA", at positions 524 to 776 of the family's 1533-position model. The record is from RNAcentral.